This 246-nucleotide ribosomal RNA is filed under the name Strongylogaster moiwana. RNAcentral's name for it is "partial 16S ribosomal RNA". Lineage: Eukaryota; Metazoa; Arthropoda; Insecta; Hymenoptera; Tenthredinidae. The record is from RNAcentral.
CUGUCUCUAUAUAAUUAUUAAUUUAAUUUAAUUUUUAAGUUAAAAAGCUUAAAUUUUUUUAAAGGACGAGAAGACCCUAUAGAGUUUUACUAGUUAAUAAAUUAGUAAAAUUUAUUUUUUUUAUUAAUUAAUUAAUAAGUUUUAUUGGGGCGAUAGUGAAAUUUAAUGAACUUUUAAUAAUAAAAACAUUGAUUAAUGAAUUUUUGAUCCUAAAUUUUAGAUUAUUAGAAUAAAUUACCUUAGGGA